Molecule: unclassified non-coding RNA, 240 nt
Filed under: soil metagenome
Description: partial contains 5.8S ribosomal RNA, internal transcribed spacer 2, and large subunit ribosomal RNA
Source: RNAcentral
AACAUCGCGCACCUGCGGGAACCUGCGGAAGGAUCAUUACAGAGUUGCAAAACUCCCUAAACCAUCGUGAACGUUACCUAAACCGUUGCUUCGGCGGGCGGCCCGGGUCCUUCCCGGCGCCCCUCGGCCCUCGCGGGCGCCCGCCGGAGGUAAACCAAACUAUUGCAUUGUAUGGCCUCUCUGAGUCUUCUGUACUGAAUAAGUCAAAACUUUUAACAAUGGAUCUCAGAUCGGAAGAGC